AAACGUUAUAGAAUGCGUUUAAUGAAAAUGCUAAACUCAAGGUGAAACAGAAAGAGGAUGAGAAGCUGUGGAAUGGCUUAGAAUCUAAAUUUCUUACGAAAACACUGCGAUCAACUCACUGAAACUUUAAAGCAAUUAGCCAGUCAAGUUCAUGAUGAUUGAAGAAAGUAGACUACAUCAAUGAUGACUCUGUUUGCUUAAAAGAAACAGUGUGUUGAAGCAUAAUAUUGGAACUUGAAAAGCUUGUCCCUUCAAUCUAGCUGCACGAAAGAAAUGUCUCGGCAGCAAGAAAUGGUACCACUUGGGGAGGAACUUGCUACCUUGCACCUCUUACCAGAGCCAUCAUAUGGCAAAUGCUUAUGGGGGAAA
This is a long non-coding RNA of Cannabis sativa, 369 nucleotides long. RefSeq lists it as uncharacterized. The record is from RefSeq and is a predicted model, not a curated record. Lineage: Eukaryota; Viridiplantae; Streptophyta; Magnoliopsida; Rosales; Cannabaceae. The transcript is spliced from 3 exons.